UCCGUAGGGUGCAAGCGUUUUCCGGAUUUAUUGGGUUUAAAGGGUGCGUAGGCGGUUUUGUAAGUCAGUGGUGAAAUAUGUCAGCUUAACUGAGAGGGUGCCAUUGAUACUGCAGAACUUGAGUACAGAUGAGGUAGGCGGAAUUGACGGUGUAGCGGUGAAAUGCUUAGAUAUCGUCAAGAACACCUAUAGCGAAGGCAGCUUACUAGGCUGUAACUGACGCUGAGGCACGAAAGUGUGGGGAUAAAACAGG
RNAcentral lists this ribosomal RNA (253 nucleotides) under uncultured bacterium. RNAcentral's name for it is "partial 16S ribosomal RNA". It matches the Rfam family "Bacterial small subunit ribosomal RNA", at positions 524 to 776 of the family's 1533-position model. The record is from RNAcentral.